This 210-nucleotide ribosomal RNA is filed under the name uncultured bacterium. RNAcentral's name for it is "partial 16S ribosomal RNA". It matches the Rfam family "Bacterial small subunit ribosomal RNA", at positions 355 to 557 of the family's 1533-position model. The record is from RNAcentral.
UAGGGAAUCUUCCACAAUGGACGCAAGUCUGAUGGAGCAACGCCGCGUGAGUGAAGAAGGUUUUCGGACCGUAAAGCUCUGUUGUUGGUGAAGAAGGAUAGAGGUAGUAACUGGCCUUUAUUUGACGGUAAUCAACCAGAAAGUCACGGCUAACUACGUGCCAGCAGCCGCGGUAAUACGUAGGCGGCAAGCGUUGUCCGGAUUUAUUGG